This 831-nucleotide long non-coding RNA is filed under the name Coffea arabica (coffee). RNAcentral describes it as "long non-coding RNA (CARA_LNC000236)". The record is from RNAcentral. Lineage: Eukaryota; Viridiplantae; Streptophyta; Magnoliopsida; Gentianales; Rubiaceae.
AAGCCCUUUGAAACCAUAUACUCACUUGGUGGUUACUUUGUGGUACAGGUGAGCGUAGUUUUAAGUACUAUUGUCUUUUUUAGUUGAGAUAAUUAAAAUCUUUUAUCUGGUUCAGCGAAGCAGCCACUAUUCAAUGGGAAAACAGAAGUUGAUCAACUUGACAAGGUUAACAUUUUGACAACUUUCAUCUGUCAUGUUACUGUAGAUUUUUGUAUGGAUUUCUUUACCAAACCAUCCUUCCACCUAAAACAUAGACAGCCUCCACAAACCACCAGUUACCCUUGUUAAAUCUGCCACUUCUCCAACAUUUUUCUUUGGGAAUAAACUUUCAACCAAACCCCAAACCCUUGAAAUACACCUGCAAUUGAGCAAAUUUGUUUUUCAAAACUAAAAUUCCAUGCAAUAGUGAUCUAUUGCAAGUUAGGCGGCAGCGUGGACUCCAUAUUUGUGGGGUUCCUAUACUUUCAACAACCAAAUUCAGUGCAAAAAUAAAUUAAUAAACUACUCCAGCUCCUUUAAUCCUUCAUUUACUAUUUUUUUUCUAUCCAUCGUUUGCCUCUUUAUCUUUUUUGUUUUUCCCUGAUUUCCUAUCUCUUUGGCACCGACUACUGUCUAAUAAGAUAGGAGAGGUAAGGGCCGAAGUAGCAAUGCUGGGGAAGGGGUCAAAGUGAUGGCUGAAGGCGAGAGGACGGGAGGCAGCAUAACCAAAACCCAGUAAUCAACAACGAAAGGAAAAAAAAAGGAAAAAAAGAUAAACGAACCUGAUAUAAGCUUCAAUUACAGAGUUUUUUUUGGCUUACAAUUCCAGCGGUGAGUAGAAAAACUUCAUGC